AGCAUUUUUAACCGCUGCUAAAAAAAUAUUAAAAUUUUUAAUAAUUUAUCAGCGAUUUAAAUAAAGGCAGUUUGCCAACCGCUGCCAUACCUUCCAUUCCCCUUUUAUGUCCCUCGCAUGCCCUAGCUCCCGCUCCACUUUCUCCCGCGUCCGUCUCCCAAAUGAUCUGCCAAAUGAUCUUCUCAUAGCCGUUCUCCAAGGGUUUUGGAGAGGAAACUUGUGGUAGUAGGCUGCACCAUUCUGUCUUCUGUGUCGGGAAAUUUGAUUUCAAGCUCUGUAGUUAGCUCCAGUCCCGUCGAAGUCUUCUUUCUUGCAGCCCAACUCUUUGAUCUCAGCUCUCGCCAUGUCCUAUCUCCUGGAAUCCUCAGAUUGGCAAGGAGCAUUUGACUCCGCUCUUCUCGUGAAGCACAAGGUGGAGAAGAAAAAGUAAGUAGAGUGGGAGU
Dendrobium catenatum is the source of this 443-nucleotide long non-coding RNA. RefSeq lists it as uncharacterized. The record is from RefSeq and is a predicted model, not a curated record. Lineage: Eukaryota; Viridiplantae; Streptophyta; Magnoliopsida; Asparagales; Orchidaceae. The transcript is spliced from 3 exons.